AUUGAACGCUGGCGGCAGGCCUAACACAUGCAAGUCGAGCGGAGCGGCGGACGGGCGAGUAAUUCAUUGGUAUCUGCCUGGUAGUGGGGGAUAACGUCCGAAAACGGGCGCUAAUACCGCAUACUUUCAGGUGAGCCUCGGUCGGAUUAGCUAGUUGGUGGGGUAGAGGCCUACGAAGGCGACGAUCCGUAACUGGUCUGAGAGGAUGAUCAGUCACACUGGAACUGAGACACGGUCCAGACUCCUACGGGAGGCAGCAGUGGGGAAUAUUGGACAAUGGGCGAAAGCCUGAUCCAGCCAGGCCGCGUGUGUGAAGAAGGUCUUCGGAUUGUAAAGCACUUUAAGUUGGGAGGCGUUACCAACAGAAUAAGCACCGGCUAACUUCGUGCCAGCAGCCGCGGUAAUAC
This 407-nucleotide ribosomal RNA is filed under the name uncultured bacterium. Its description in RNAcentral is "partial 16S ribosomal RNA". It matches the Rfam family "Bacterial small subunit ribosomal RNA", at positions 30 to 526 of the family's 1533-position model. The record is from RNAcentral.